UCUAGUAGGUUCACUGCUAGUGCAUUAGUGUACUUUCUAAUUUUUGGUAUUUGGUGGUCAGUUAUUUUUAUUUCACUGAGCACAGUGUUCAUUUACAGAUCUUAAUGGGUCCUGUGGUUAUGUAUCAAGAAAGCUUCUGAUGUAAUUUUCUCAUGCUGGGCCACUGCUGGAACCUUCCAACACCACAAAUUUACUGCCACAUUAUCGUGUGCUAAACGUUAUAUCCUUUGGCUGUUUACACACUUUUACCUACCUUCUAGUAGUUCACAUACAGGAAUAAAUGGUGGAAAUGCUUAUAUUUUACUAUACCAAAUCAACUUUUUUAUUUUCUACAUAAGGCUAGUAGGGCCCUGAAGGUGGAUGCAAUAUAGCUAUAAGAACCACAAAUCCAGAUUUAUGUACUUACAAAACUAAUUACUAAGCACAAUUAAAAAUUUCUGCGCAUAAAUAUUUCAGUGUCUUACAGUACCUUUCAUACAUGAUCUAGCGCACUCUUAUGAUUUCAGAUGUUUUCCUGCCAGGUUACUGGAGUGCACAAAAGUAGCACUACAUUUUUAAGACUACAUACACUACACAUACUAUUUCAAAGUUAUUCAAACCAAUGAAAAUUGCUGACACAGUGCUUAUGUUUCAUGGACACACUCACAUAUAGAUCACAACACCAUUUACUCACUAAUGGCCCCAUAAACCCAGGAAGAAAACAUUUGCAAUGGCAACUGAAAACUUUAACUGUAUUGCUACUUUUGUGCCACCCUGUAUUGUAAAUUGACAAUAUGUAUUGCAAAAGAUAUAUAAAACUUGAGAUUCUCAAUGUGAGUCAUUUAGAUAUAUGUAUUUGAGAUUCUAAAGACAGCAUAUAUUCCAUCUGCUACAAACAUUUUUCAGAAACUUUUAAUUUAACAUGGUGGCUCUAACAAAAUCCUGCAACACUUUGUUAGUCCUGAACACCUAAAAUAUAGUCAGAUCCCCUAUUCAAUGGUGCUAAAGCAAGGAUAAAUCUAAUACCUUAUGACUGCAUAGUCUCAAACAUUAAAGUACAGCCAAAAAGGCACUUAACCCCUUUACAUAUGAGUAUUUAUUUUAUGUGGCAAACCUGUCAGGUCAUGUAUUUUCAGAAUAUUAAAAAAAAAAAAAAAGAAAGUGGUAAGUUUUCCGAAUUGGUUGCAAGAGUAUUUCAUCACAUGUACAUCUAAGAAAUGGCAGUAGUUUUGCAUGUUUACAUCUUGUCGAUAGAAUGCCUGGAAGAUAAAUGAGAAAUUUUGCAACAUCCCAUGACAACUGCUCUGUUGUCAGUAAGGAAUGCAUAGCUAAGGUAAAGAUAUUUGUGUCAAGUUCCUAAAAAAGGUUAAACUGCAUUCAAGUGCAAUAGUUACACAAAAGCCUGUCAAAGCUUCUGAAACCUUACCACAAACAAGACUUAUACAUUUAUAUAUGCACAAACUGCAACAGAUGAAUGUAGAAA
Molecule: long non-coding RNA, 1462 nt
Organism: Cryptotermes secundus
Lineage: Eukaryota; Metazoa; Arthropoda; Insecta; Blattodea; Kalotermitidae
Exons: 2
Source: RefSeq, a predicted model, not a curated record